UACGUAGGUGGCAAGCGUUGUCCGGAUUUAUUGGGUUUAAAGGGUGCGUAGGCGGCCAUGUAAGUCAGUGCUGAAAUAUCCCGGCUUAACCGGGAGGGUGGCAUUGAUACUGCGGGGCUAGAGUACAGAUGAGGUAGGCGGAAUUGACGGUGUAGCGGUGAAAUGCUUAGAUAUCGUCAAGAACACCUAUAGCGAAGGCAGCUUACUAGGCUGUAACUGACGCUGAGGCACGAAAGUGUGGGGAUCAAACAGG
Molecule: ribosomal RNA, 253 nt
Filed under: uncultured bacterium
Lineage: Bacteria
Description: partial 16S ribosomal RNA
Rfam family: Bacterial small subunit ribosomal RNA
Source: RNAcentral